CAAUCAAAUAUUCAUAGGAUAUGGAUGGGCUCGCGUGACAUUAGCUAGUUGGUAGGGUAACGGCCUACCAAGGCNNNGAUGUCUAGGGGCUCUGAGAGGAGAAUCCCCCACACUGGUACUGAGACACGGACCAGACUCCUACGGGAGGCAGCAGUAAGGAAUAUUGGUCAAUGGAGGGAACUCUGAACCAGCCAUGCCGCGUGCAG
Molecule: ribosomal RNA, 206 nt
Filed under: Sphingobacterium sp. BH10
Lineage: Bacteria; Pseudomonadati; Bacteroidota; Sphingobacteriia; Sphingobacteriales; Sphingobacteriaceae
Description: partial 16S ribosomal RNA
Rfam family: Bacterial small subunit ribosomal RNA
Source: RNAcentral